RNAcentral lists this ribosomal RNA (339 nucleotides) under Triticum aestivum (bread wheat). RNAcentral's name for it is "partial small subunit ribosomal RNA". Lineage: Eukaryota; Viridiplantae; Streptophyta; Magnoliopsida; Poales; Poaceae. The record is from RNAcentral.
AUGGAGCCAUCGCUGCAACCUCCGAGCAGUUCCGUUUUCUCUGGAUCAUCAAUAUUGCCGAAAGCGGGCCACACAAGUAAAUGUGUUGGGCCACAAGUGCCACCAUGUAUUGAGCGUAUUAUGCAUGAGGUUUUAGGCAUGCAGAGUAGCCAAACAAAAAUUCCUGAGAUUGGGGCUUUACAUCCACCAUAUGUGGAUGUGGAUUCUGCGCAUGCUGAUACAAGUACGCUCAACAUGCAUAAAGUACCUGCGGCUUGCCACAUAGCUGGAAACACCACAAAUCGCCGCCCUAAAAUUGUUCCUGGAGUAGCAGGUUUGCAUCCUCCGAGUCAUAAGUAG